UAGAAUAAAAUUGUUAUUUUUUAUAGUUAAUUGAUUAUUUAAUAAAAAUAAUUUUAAUUAAAUUUAUUUAUGUAUAUUUUAUAGAUAAAAUAAUUUUUACAAUAGUUUAAUAGUAUAGUAAUAGAAUAUUGAAAUAUAAAUAAUUAAUAAUAAAGUAAUUUUUAUUUAAUGUACCUUUUGUAUCAGGGUUUAUCAAAAAUAAUUUAAAAAUUUUAAUUAUCUCGAAUUUAAAAGAGCUAAAAUAAUAUGAAAUUUAUUGUGUUAAAACUAUUUUAAAUAUUAUUUUUGUAAUGAAAAGUUAUUCGUUUUUAAAUAUAUCUAGUUUUUUAAGAAAUGAAUUUAAUUCAUUAUUAAAUUAAUAUUAAGUUAAUUAUUUAAUUUAAUAUAAUUUAAUAAAAAAUUUUUUGGGGAUAAGCUUAAAAAAUAUUAAUUAUAAAUUAAAUUUAUUAAAUAAAAUAUAUAGGAUUAGAAAUUUUCAUUAUUUAUAAAAGUGUUAUAAUUUAUUUAAUUAAAUAAUUUAUUUAUAAAAUUUUAAUUUUUUUAUUAAAAUAUUUAUUAUAAUAAUAAUAAUAAAGUAAUAAUGAUAAAAUUAGUAUUAAUUUAUUUAAAGAUAAAAAUUAAUUAUAGAUAAUUAUAAGGAAUUCAGCAAAUAAAAUAUUCACCUGUUUAUCAAAAACAUGUCUUUUUGAGUAUAAUUUAAAGUCUAACCUGCCCACUGAAAUUAAUUUAAAGGGCCGCGGUAUACUGACUGUGCAAAGGUAGCAUAAUCAUUUGUCUUUUAAUUGAAGGCUGGAAUGAAUGGUUGAAUGAAAUAUUAACUGUCUCAUUAUUAAAAAUUUAAUAAUUUAGCUUUUAAGUCAAAAGGCUUAAAUAAAAUUAAAGGACGAGAAGACCCUAUAGAUCUUUAUAUUUAUUAAAUUUUUAUAAAUUAGUAAAAUAUUUAAUAAAAAUUUAUAUAAUAUUUUAUUGGGGUGAUAGGAAAAUUUAAUAAACUUUUUAUAUUUAAUAUACAAUGAUUUUUGAAUAAUUGAUCCAUUUUUAGUGAUUAAAAGAUUAAGUUACCUUAGGGAUAACAGCGUAAUUUUUUUUGAGAGUUCAUAUCGAUAAAAAAGAUUGCGACCUCGAUGUUGAAUUAAAGGUUAUUUCUAGAUGUAGAAGUUUAGAGUUUAGGUCUGUUCGACCUUUGAAUCUUUACAUGAUUUGAGUUCAGACCGGCGUAAGCCAGGUCGGUUUCUAUCCUUAAUUAAAUAUAAUAUUUUAGUACGAAAGGACCAAAUAUUUUAAUUAUAUUAUUUAUAUUGAAUAAUAUU
RNAcentral lists this ribosomal RNA (1310 nucleotides) under Nothancyla verreauxi. RNAcentral describes it as "16S ribosomal RNA". The stretch from base 1069 to 1228 matches the Rfam family "Archaeal large subunit ribosomal RNA", at positions 2542 to 2701 of the family's 2987-position model. The record is from RNAcentral. Lineage: Eukaryota; Metazoa; Arthropoda; Insecta; Neuroptera; Chrysopidae.